MACUUUCAGCAACGGAUCUCUUGGCUCUCGCAUCGA
This 36-nucleotide ribosomal RNA is filed under the name Boletus citrinovirens. RNAcentral's name for it is "partial 5.8S ribosomal RNA". Lineage: Eukaryota; Fungi; Basidiomycota; Agaricomycetes; Boletales; Boletaceae. The record is from RNAcentral.